This 218-nucleotide unclassified non-coding RNA is filed under the name Candidatus Phytoplasma pini. RNAcentral's name for it is "16S-23S ribosomal RNA intergenic spacer". The stretch from base 71 to 144 matches the Rfam family "tRNA". Lineage: Bacteria; Bacillati; Mycoplasmatota; Mollicutes; Acholeplasmatales; Acholeplasmataceae. The record is from RNAcentral.
UAGAAUAAUCAUCUUCAGUUUUGAAAGACUUUAGAAUAAAAAUCAUAAGUUUUUCUUUUUUAAAAGAAAAGGGCCUAUAGCUCAGUUGGUUAGAGCACACGCCUGAUAAGCGUGAGGUCGGUGGUUCAAGUCCAUUUAGGCCCACCAACUUAGUAAAAAACCCAUUCUUUUAAAAAAAGUUCUUUGAAAAGUAGAUAAACAUGGACAAGAAAAUAAAU